RNAcentral lists this ribosomal RNA (304 nucleotides) under Porphyromonas gulae. RNAcentral describes it as "bacterial SSU rRNA". It matches the Rfam family "Bacterial small subunit ribosomal RNA", at positions 185 to 488 of the family's 1533-position model. Lineage: Bacteria; Pseudomonadati; Bacteroidota; Bacteroidia; Bacteroidales; Porphyromonadaceae. The record is from RNAcentral.
GUUGCAUGAUCGGGCAAGGAAAUAUUUAUAGCUGUAAGAUAGGCAUGCGUCCCAUUAGCUGGUUGGUGAGGUAACGGCUCACCAAGGCUACGAUGGGUAGGGGAACUGAGAGGUUUAUCCCCCACACUGGUACUGAGACACGGACCAGACUCCUACGGGAGGCAGCAGUGAGGAAUAUUGGUCAAUGGGCGAGAGCCUGAACCAGCCAAGUCGCGUGAAGGAAGACUGUCCUAAGGAUUGUAAACUUCUUUUAUACGGGAAUAACGGGCGAUACGUGUAUUGCUGUGAAUGUACCGUAAGAAUA